This is a long non-coding RNA of Aquila chrysaetos chrysaetos, 222 nucleotides long. RefSeq lists it as uncharacterized. NCBI's taxonomy places the organism in Eukaryota, Metazoa, Chordata, Aves, Accipitriformes, Accipitridae. The record is from RefSeq and is a predicted model, not a curated record. The transcript has 4 exons.
UGUCAUCCAUAGUGCUUUAUGAUAUAGCUUUCAGGAGGAUGUUGCAUGACCUUACUGAGCACUGUAGUGAGGCCGAGUGGUCCAUAGUUCCCAGAGUUCUCCUUUUUAAAAAUGAGUAUGAUGUUUGCCUUUUUCCAGCCACUGGAGACUUAGUGACUACAUCUGCCAGUUCCCUCCAGACCCUGGGAUGCACCUCAUUGGGUCCCACAGACUUGUACAUUC